UACGUAGGGUGCGAGCGUUGUCCGGAAUUAUUGGGCGUAAAGGGCUCGUAGGCGGUCUGUCGCGUCGAAAGUGAAAACCCAGGGCUUAACCCUGGGCCUGCUUCCGAUACGGGCAGACUAGAGGUAUGCAGGGGAGAACGGAAUUCCUGGUGUAGCGGUGAAAUGCGUAGAUAUCUGGAGGAACACCGGUGGCGAAGGCGGCAUCCUGGACCGGCAUUGACGCUGAGGCGCGAAAGCUAGGGGAGCAAACGGG
RNAcentral lists this ribosomal RNA (253 nucleotides) under uncultured bacterium. RNAcentral describes it as "partial 16S ribosomal RNA". It matches the Rfam family "Bacterial small subunit ribosomal RNA", at positions 524 to 776 of the family's 1533-position model. The record is from RNAcentral.